Molecule: small nuclear RNA, 133 nt
Filed under: Erinaceus europaeus (western European hedgehog)
Lineage: Eukaryota; Metazoa; Chordata; Mammalia; Eulipotyphla; Erinaceidae
Description: U2 spliceosomal RNA
Rfam family: U2 spliceosomal RNA
About the family: U2 is a small nuclear RNA (snRNA) component of the spliceosome (involved in pre-mRNA splicing). Complementary binding between U2 snRNA (in an area lying towards the 5' end but 3' to hairpin I) and the branchpoint sequence (BPS) of the intron results the bulging out of an unpaired adenosine, on the BPS, which initiates a nucleophilic attack at the intronic 5' splice site, thus starting the first of two transesterification reactions that mediate splicing.
Source: Rfam by way of RNAcentral
UAGGCUUCUCGGCCUCUUGGCUAAGAUUAAGUGUAGUAUCUGUUCUUAUCAGUUUAAAAUCUCUAUAGUAGGCUUCUAUAAAAUAGUCUCUGUUUAAUGCUAUGUUCUUCCCAGAAGUUGCAAAAUACUUUUU